RNAcentral lists this ribosomal RNA (292 nucleotides) under Paenibacillaceae bacterium 1AS5. RNAcentral describes it as "partial 16S ribosomal RNA". It matches the Rfam family "Bacterial small subunit ribosomal RNA", at positions 60 to 343 of the family's 1533-position model. The record is from RNAcentral. Lineage: Bacteria; Bacillati; Bacillota; Bacilli; Caryophanales; Paenibacillaceae.
AGUCGAGCGAAUCUGAGGGAGCUUGCUCCCUGAGGUUAGCGGCGGAGGAUGGGUNACACGUGGGCAACCUGCCUAUAAGACUGGGAUAACUUAGGGAAACCGGAGCUAAUACCGGAUACGUUCUUUUCUCGCAUGANAGAAGAUGGAAAGACGGUUCCUGCCGUCACUUAUAGAUGGGCCCGCGGCGCAUUAGCUAGUUGGUGGGGUAAUGGCUCACCAAGGCGACNAUGCGUAGCCAACCCAACAGGGUGAUNGGCCACACUGGGACUGACACACCCCCCACACUCCUACG